CCCCAGACUCCUACGGGAGGCAGCAGUGGGGAAUAUUGCACAAUGGGGGGAACCCUGAUGCAGCGACGCCGCGUGGGUGAAGGAGUACUUCGGUACGUAAAGCCCUAUCAGCAGGAAAGAAAAUGACGGUACCUGACUAAGAAGCCCCGGCUAACUACGUGCCAGCAGCCGCGGUAAUACGUAGGGGGCAAGCGUUAUCCGGAUUUACUGGGUGUAAAGGGAGCGUAGACGGUUGUGCAAGUCAGAAGUGAAAGCCCGGGGCUCAACUCCGGGACUGCUUUUGAAACUGUGAAACUGGAGUGCAGGAGAGGUAAGCGGAAUUCCUGGUGUAGCGGUGAAAUGCGUAGAUAUCAGGAGGAACACCAGUGGCGAAGGCGGCCUGCUGGACGAUGACUGACGUUGAGGCUCGAAAGCGUGGGGAGCAAACAGGAUUAGAUACCCGGGUAGG
RNAcentral lists this ribosomal RNA (448 nucleotides) under uncultured bacterium. RNAcentral describes it as "bacterial SSU rRNA". It matches the Rfam family "Bacterial small subunit ribosomal RNA", at positions 329 to 794 of the family's 1533-position model. The record is from RNAcentral.